RNAcentral lists this long non-coding RNA (392 nucleotides) under Lupinus angustifolius (narrow-leaved blue lupine). RNAcentral describes it as "long non-coding RNA (LANG_LNC001792)". The record is from RNAcentral. Lineage: Eukaryota; Viridiplantae; Streptophyta; Magnoliopsida; Fabales; Fabaceae.
CAAAUUUUUUUUGACUUUUUUUUCUUCCUUGAAUCUGUACCCUGAACAAUGGUCCUGUAACUGGUGUACUCGUUCAUUCACGAUGUGUCCUUUUUAUGGUUUAUUAUGAUGCGGUUUCAAUUGUUCUGUUACUGCUUCAUUUGUGCAUAUAACAAUUGUUACGUUUUGGGAUUAGGGUUUAGGUUUCUGCCUCUUUUGUACCUACUCAAGGUAUGGAUUUGUCAUUUGUGUGGUUGAUAAUUCAUAAACUGUUUUGUAGAUGGAGAUGUGAAAUCAUAACAGCUAUUUCUGCAAUCAAUAUGUUUCAGCAGAUGAAGAAGAUAAGAAUAUUGCGGAGAACCUUAUUUGGGAAUGCUAUGAAGAUAUCUACUAUGGAAAACAGGAUGAGUUAA